AAGGGAAAAUAGGGCUGAGUGGAACUGGACAAAAAGCAUAAGGACGAUAUUGAUGCAGAGCAAGAAGCACAGCUGGCAGCAAAGCAGAGCAGAACAGGACAAGGUGGUGCGUGCCAUGCAAAUAUUUAGCUGGUUAAGUCAUUGGGGGAGGCAGUUUUUGGGCAAAUCAAAUUUUCUCUGUUUCCGGCUUCUUCCCCGUCUUCCACCAACUUCGCCGCGUCGUCGCAGGUGGAGGUCCAGCAAGGACCUUCCGUGAUAACGUGAUUAUCUCAGAUCCCUGUUCUGUUCCGUGAUAAGCAGGAUUGCAGAAUUAUUGAUGAAGGUGGGGGGUUGACCUGUCCGCCAGAUUCCGGUUGGAGGGAGAGGUGAGAACCGAGAAGCUGGAAAUAGUUUGAGAAAUGUGUCGGACGGAAGUCUUUAAUUGCACUUUUAGACAUAUUAUAGCUGGAAAUUUUAAAGGGG
Neltuma alba is the source of this 462-nucleotide long non-coding RNA. RefSeq lists it as uncharacterized. NCBI's taxonomy places the organism in Eukaryota, Viridiplantae, Streptophyta, Magnoliopsida, Fabales, Fabaceae. The record is from RefSeq and is a predicted model, not a curated record. The transcript has 2 exons.